CCCUUAGAUGUCCUGGGCCGCACGCGCGCUACACUGAUGCAUUCAACGAGUUUUACCUUGGCCGAGAGGCCUGGGCAAUCUUUUAAACCUGCAUCGUGAUAGGGAUAGAUUAUUGCAAUUAUUAAUCUUGAACGAGGAAUUCCUAGUAAACGCAGAUCAUCAAUCUGCAUUGAUUACGUCCCUGCCCUUUGUACACACCGCCCGUCGCACCUACCGAUUGAAUGGUCCGGUGAAGCCUCGGGAUUGUGGCCAGUUCACUUUAUUGGGAGUUGGCUGCGAGAACUUGUCUAAACCCUAUCAUUUAGAGGAAGGUGAAGUCGUAACA
RNAcentral lists this ribosomal RNA (325 nucleotides) under uncultured eukaryote. RNAcentral's name for it is "partial 18S ribosomal RNA". It matches the Rfam family "Eukaryotic small subunit ribosomal RNA", at positions 1470 to 1796 of the family's 1831-position model. The record is from RNAcentral.